CACCUGAUCCCAUGCCGAACUCAGAAGUGAAACGCCGUAGCGCCGAUGGUAGUGUGGGGUCUCCCCAUGCGAGAGUAGGACACUGCCAGGCA
Molecule: ribosomal RNA, 92 nt
Filed under: Serratia proteamaculans
Lineage: Bacteria; Pseudomonadati; Pseudomonadota; Gammaproteobacteria; Enterobacterales; Yersiniaceae
Source: RNAcentral